UGGGGAAUAUUGCACAAUGGGCGCAAGCCUGAUGCAGCCAUGCCGCGUGUGUGAAGAAGGCCUUCGGGUUGUAAAGCACUUUCAGCGGGGAGGAAGGCGAUAAGGUUAAUAACCUCAUCGAUCGACGUUACCCGCAGAAGAAGCACCGGCUAACACCGUGCCAGCAGCCGCGGUAAUACGGAGGGUGCAAGCGUUAAUCGGAAUUACUGGGCGUAAAGCGCACGCAGGCGGUCUAUCAAGUCGGAUGUGAAAUCCCCGGGCUCAACCUGGGAACUGCAUUCGAAACUGGGAGGCUAGAGUCUUGUAGAGGGGGGUAGAAUUCCAGGUGUAGCGGUGAAAUGCGUAGAGAUCUGGAGGAAUACCGGUGGCGAAAGCGGCCCCCUGGGCAAAGACUGACGCUCAGGUGCGAAAGCGUGGGGAGCAAACAGG
Molecule: ribosomal RNA, 429 nt
Filed under: Chloroflexota bacterium
Lineage: Bacteria; Bacillati; Chloroflexota
Description: Chloroflexi bacterium partial 16S ribosomal RNA
Rfam family: Bacterial small subunit ribosomal RNA
Source: RNAcentral